CAGUCGCACGGGAAUACAGAGGGUGCAAACGUUGUUCGGAGUUACUGGGCGUAAAGCGAGUGUAGGCGGUUCUGUAAGUCGGAUGUGAAAGCCCCGGGCUCAACCCGGGAAGUGCACUCGAUACUGCAGAGCUAGAGUACUGGAGAGGUGGGUGGAAUUCUCGGUGUAGAGGUGAAAUUCGUAGAUAUCGAGAGGAACACCGGCGGCGAAGGCGGCCCACUGGACAGAUACUGACGCUGAGACUCGAAAGCGUGGGGAGCAAACAGGAUUAGAGACCCGGGUAGUCCCUGUCUCUUAUACA
Molecule: ribosomal RNA, 301 nt
Filed under: uncultured bacterium
Lineage: Bacteria
Description: partial 16S ribosomal RNA
Rfam family: Bacterial small subunit ribosomal RNA
Source: RNAcentral